RNAcentral lists this ribosomal RNA (329 nucleotides) under uncultured eukaryote. RNAcentral's name for it is "partial 18S ribosomal RNA". It matches the Rfam family "Eukaryotic small subunit ribosomal RNA", at positions 1470 to 1796 of the family's 1831-position model. The record is from RNAcentral.
CCCUUAGAUGUUCUGGGCCGCACGCGCGCUACACUGAUGCAUUCAACGAGUCUAAAACCUGCUCUGAUAGGGGUGGGUAAUCUUUUGAAUGUGCAUCGUGAUUGGGAUAGAUGAUUGCAAUUUUUCAUCUUCAACGAGGAAUGCCUAGUAAACGCAAGUCAUCAGCUUGCAUUGAUUACGUCCCUGCCCUUUGUACACACCGCCCGUCGCUCCUAUCGAUUGAAUGAUCCGAUGAAUAUCAUGGAUUGAGGAUUAUAGCAGGUUCGCCUGUCUUGAUCUUCGAGAAGUGAAGUAAAUCUUAUCAUUUAGAGGAAGGAGAAGUCGUAACA